AGAGUUUGAUCAUGGCUCAGGAUGAACGCUAGCGGCAGGCUUAACACAUGCAAGUCGAGGGGUAGAGGAAGCUUGCUUCCUUGAGACCGGCGCACGGGUGCGUAACGCGUAUGCAAUCUACCUUAUACAGGGGGAUAGCCCAGAGAAAUUUGGAUUAAUACCCCAUAGUAUAAUUGAAUGGCAUCAUUUAAUUAUUAAAGUUCCAACGGUAUAAGAUGAGCAUGCGUCCCAUUAGCUAGUUGGUGUGGUAACGGCACACCAAGGCGACGAUGGGUAGGGGUCCUGAGAGGAGAUCCCCCACACUGGUACUGAGACACGGACCAGACUCCUACGGGAGGCAGCAGUGAGGAAUAUUGGUCAAUGGGCGCAAGCCUGAACCAGCCAUGCCGCGUGCAGGAUGACGGUCCUAUGGAUUGUAAACUGCUUUGUACAGGAAGAAACACUCCCUCGUGAGGGAGCUUGACGGUACUGUAAGAAUAAGGAUCGGCUAACUCCGUG
RNAcentral lists this ribosomal RNA (498 nucleotides) under uncultured bacterium. RNAcentral describes it as "bacterial SSU rRNA". It matches the Rfam family "Bacterial small subunit ribosomal RNA", at positions 8 to 507 of the family's 1533-position model. The record is from RNAcentral.